This 657-nucleotide ribosomal RNA is filed under the name Salmonella enterica. RNAcentral describes it as "partial 23S ribosomal RNA". Lineage: Bacteria; Pseudomonadati; Pseudomonadota; Gammaproteobacteria; Enterobacterales; Enterobacteriaceae. The record is from RNAcentral.
UUAGUGGAAGCGUCUGGAAAGGCGCGCGAUACAGGGUGACAGCCCCGUACACAAAAGCGCAUGUGCUGUGAGCUCGAUGAGUAGGGCGGGACACGUGGUAUCCUGUCUGAAUAUGGGGGGACCAUCCUCCAAGGCUAAAUACUCCUGACUGACCGAUAGUGAACCAGUACCGUGAGGGAAAGGCGAAAAGAACCCCGGCGAGGGGAGUGAAAAAGAACCUGAAACCGUGUACGUACAAGCAGUGGGAGCCCCACCACUAAGCCAGUGGUGAACUCCACAUACGCAUCCUUUGCUGAGGAUACGGUUAACGGAGCGAAAGCGACGUUCAACCGCAAAAGAAGCAGAGGGGGCUUAGUGGUGGGGUGACUGCGUACCUUUUGUAUAAUGGGUCAGCGACUUAUAUUCUGUAGCAAGGUUAACCGWAUAGGGGAGCCGGAGGGAAACCGAGUCUUAAUUGGGCGUUAAGUUGCAGGGUAUAGACCCGAAACCCGGUGAUCUAGCCAUGGGCAGGUUGAAGGUUGGGUAACACUAACUGGAGGACCGAACCGACUAAUGUUGAAAAAUUAGCGGAUGACCUGUGGCUGGGGGUGAAAGGCCAAUCAAACCGGGAGAUAGCUGGUUCUCCCCGAAAGCUAUUUAGGUAGCGCCUCGUGAAUU